RNAcentral lists this ribosomal RNA (434 nucleotides) under uncultured bacterium. RNAcentral's name for it is "partial 16S ribosomal RNA". It matches the Rfam family "Bacterial small subunit ribosomal RNA", at positions 27 to 507 of the family's 1533-position model. The record is from RNAcentral.
GAGCGAACGCUGGCGGCAGGCCUAACACAUGCAAGUCGAACGAACUCUUCGGAGUUAGUGGCGGACGGGUGAGUAACACGUGGGAACGUGCCUUUAGGUUCGGAAUAACUCAGGGAAACUUGUGCUAAUACCGAAUGUGCCCUUCGGGGGAAAGAUUUAUCGCCUUUAGAGCGGCCCGCGUCUGAUUAGCUAGUUGGUGAGGUAAAGGCUCACCAAGGCGACGAUCAGUAGCUGGUCUGAGAGGAUGAUCAGCCACAUUGGGACUGAGACACGGCCCAAACUCCUACGGGAGGCAGCAGUGGGGAAUCUUGCGCAAUGGGCGAAAGCCUGACGCAGCCAUGCCGCGUGAAUGAUGAAGGUCUUAGGAUUGUAAAAUUCUUUCACCGGGGACGAUAAUGACGGUACCCGGAGAAGAAGCCCCGGCUAACUUCGUG